UCGAUUAUUCGCGCCGACAUUGACCCGGCGGGAUAGCUUUCGACUGCAACUAUGUCACGACAACCCGCCCAGGAGGCGGGUUUC
This 84-nucleotide small RNA is filed under the name Cupriavidus sp. USMAA2-4. Its description in RNAcentral is "Pseudomonas sRNA P9". It matches the Rfam family "Pseudomonas sRNA P9". From Rfam's summary of the family: P9 appears to be conserved in several Pseudomonas species in addition to Bordetella spp. In both Pseudomonas and Bordetella spp P9 appears to be located upstream of a predicted threonine dehydratase gene. P9 has a predicted Rho independent terminator at the 3' end but the function of P9 is unknown. Lineage: Bacteria; Pseudomonadati; Pseudomonadota; Betaproteobacteria; Burkholderiales; Burkholderiaceae. The record is from Rfam by way of RNAcentral.